UACGGAGGAUCCAAGCGUUAUCCGGAUUUAUUGGGUUUAAAGGGUGCGUAGGCGGAAUAGUAAGUCAGUGGUGAAAGCCUGUCGCUUAACGACAGAACUGCCAUUGAUACUGCUAAUCUUGAGUAUAAUUGAAGUGGGCGGAAUGUGUCGUGUAGCGGUGAAAUGCUUAGAUAUGACACAGAACACCGAUUGCGAAGGCAGCUCACUAAACUAUAACUGACGCUGAGGCACGAAAGCGUGGGGAUCGAACAGG
This 253-nucleotide ribosomal RNA is filed under the name uncultured bacterium. RNAcentral describes it as "partial 16S ribosomal RNA". It matches the Rfam family "Bacterial small subunit ribosomal RNA", at positions 524 to 776 of the family's 1533-position model. The record is from RNAcentral.